GACGAACGCUGGCGGCGUGCUUAACACAUGCAAGUCGAACGGAAAGGCCCUGCUUUUGUGGGGUUCCCGAGUGGCGAACGGGUGAGUAACACGUGAGUAACCUGCCCUUGACUUUGGGAUAACUUCAGGAAACUGGGGCUAAUACCGGAUAGGAGCUCCUGCUGCAUGGUGGGGGUUGGAAAGUUUCGGCGGUUGGGGAUGGACUCGCGGCUUAUCAGCUUGUUGGUGGGGUAGUUGCUUACCAAGGCUUUGACGGGUAGGCGGCCUGAGAGGGUGGCCGGGCUCAAUGGGACUGAGAGAGGGCGCAGACUGGUACGGGAGGCAGCGGUGGGGAACAUGACACAGCGGGCGGGAGCCUGAGACAGCAGCGCCGCGUGCGGGAUGACGGCCUUCGGGGUAUGAACCGCUUUCGCCUGUGACGAAGCGUGAGUGACGGUAAUGGGUAAAGAAGCACCGGCUAACUACGUG
This 468-nucleotide ribosomal RNA is filed under the name uncultured bacterium. RNAcentral's name for it is "partial 16S ribosomal RNA". It matches the Rfam family "Bacterial small subunit ribosomal RNA", at positions 28 to 507 of the family's 1533-position model. The record is from RNAcentral.